This 492-nucleotide ribosomal RNA is filed under the name uncultured bacterium. RNAcentral describes it as "partial 16S ribosomal RNA". It matches the Rfam family "Bacterial small subunit ribosomal RNA", at positions 29 to 507 of the family's 1533-position model. The record is from RNAcentral.
AGUGAACGCUGGCGGUAGGCCUAACACAUGCAAGUCGAACGGCAGCACAGUAAGAGCUUGCUCUUACGGGUGGCGAGUGGCGGACGGGUGAGGAAUACAUCGGAAUCUACUUUUUCGUGGGGGAUAACGUAGGGAAACUUACGCUAAUACCGCAUACGACUUACGGGUGAAAGCAGGGGAUCUUCGGACCUUGCGCGAUUGAAUGAGCCGAUGUCGGAUUAGCUAGUUGGCGGGGUAAAGGCCCACCAAGGCGACGAUCCGUAGCUGGUCUGAGAGGAUGAUCAGCCACACGGGAACUGAGACACGGUCCAGACUCCUACGGGAGGAAGCAGUGGGGAAUAUUGGACAAUGGGCGCAAGCCUGAUCCAGCCAUACCGCGUGGGUGAAGAAGGCCUUCGGGUUGUAAAGCCCUUUUGUUGGGAAAGAAAAGCAGCAGGUUAAUACCCCGCUGUUCUGACGGUACCCAAAGAAUAAGCACCGGCUAACUUCGUG